UACGUAGGGGGCAAGCGUUGUCCGGAUUUAUUGGGCGUAAAGAGCGUGUAGGCGGUCAGGUAGGUCCGUUGUGAAAACUCGAGGCUCAACCUCGAGACGCCGAUGGAAACCAUCUGACUAGAGUCCGGAAGAGGAGAGUGGAAUUCCUGGUGUAGCGGUGAAAUGCGCAGAUAUCAGGAGGAACACCGAUUGCGAAGGCAGCUCGCUGGGACGUUACUGACGCUGAGACGCGAAAGCGUGGGGAGCAAACAGG
This 253-nucleotide ribosomal RNA is filed under the name uncultured bacterium. RNAcentral's name for it is "partial 16S ribosomal RNA". It matches the Rfam family "Bacterial small subunit ribosomal RNA", at positions 524 to 776 of the family's 1533-position model. The record is from RNAcentral.